Non-coding RNA from Podarcis lilfordi (Lilford's wall lizard), 80 nucleotides. Lineage: Eukaryota; Metazoa; Chordata; Lepidosauria; Squamata; Lacertidae. The record is from the annotation of a GenBank genome assembly.
GCCACCCUAGUGGACAACUCUGUAGGGAGAGCAUGAGGCUUUUAAUCUCAGGGUUGUGGGUUCGAGCCCCCCGUUUGGCA